UGAAUUGACGGGUCCCCGCACAAGCAGCGGAGCGUGUGGUUUAAUUCGUUUGCUACACGAAGAACCUUACCUGGGUUUGACAUAGCAGUGGUAGGGAAGCGAAACUGGACGACCCUUCGGGGAGCUUGUACAGGUGCUGCAUGGCUGUCGUCAGCUCGUGUCGUGAGAUGUUCGGUUAAGUCCGCUAACGAGCGCAACCCUCGCUGUGUGUUACAAGUGUCACACGGAACUGCCGGUCAUAAACCGGAGGAAGGUGGGGAUGACGUCAAGUCAGCAUGGCCUUUAUAUCCUGGGCUACGCACACGCUACAAUGGGAAGGGACAAUAGGUUGCGAAGCCGCGAGGCGGAGCCAAUCCAGCAAAACUUCCCUCAGUUCAGAUUGCAGGCUGCAACUCGCCUGCAUGAAGUUGGAGUUGCUAGUAAACGCAGGUCAGCCAUACUGCGUUGAAUACGUUCCCGGGGCUU
This 465-nucleotide ribosomal RNA is filed under the name uncultured Anaerolineaceae bacterium. RNAcentral's name for it is "bacterial SSU rRNA". It matches the Rfam family "Bacterial small subunit ribosomal RNA", at positions 907 to 1382 of the family's 1533-position model. Lineage: Bacteria; Bacillati; Chloroflexota; Anaerolineae; Anaerolineales; Anaerolineaceae. The record is from RNAcentral.